CCCCUAGAUGUUCUGGGCCGCACGCGCGCUACACUGAACAGUUCAACAAGUCUUAACCUUGGCCGAUAGGUCUGGGUAAUCUUUGAACGCUGUUCGUGAUUGGGAUAGACCUUUGCAAUUAUGGGUCUUCAACGAGGAAUUCCUAGUAAACGCAAGUCAUCAGCUUGCAUGGAUUACGUCCCUGCCCUUUGUACACACCGCCCGUCGCACCUACCGAUUGAAUGGUCCGGUGAAAUCUCGGGACGGCGGCUUGGUCGCUUGCGUCCGACUGCUGAAACUUGAUUAAACCAUAUCAUUUAGAGGAAGGUGAAGUCGUAACA
RNAcentral lists this ribosomal RNA (320 nucleotides) under uncultured eukaryote. Its description in RNAcentral is "partial 18S ribosomal RNA". It matches the Rfam family "Eukaryotic small subunit ribosomal RNA", at positions 1470 to 1796 of the family's 1831-position model. The record is from RNAcentral.